This 244-nucleotide ribosomal RNA is filed under the name uncultured bacterium. RNAcentral's name for it is "partial 16S ribosomal RNA". It matches the Rfam family "Bacterial small subunit ribosomal RNA", at positions 524 to 772 of the family's 1533-position model. The record is from RNAcentral.
AACGUAGGGACAAGCGUUAUCCGGAUUUACUGGGCGUAAAGCGCCCGUAGGCGGCCUGACAAGUUGGACGUGAAAGCUCCUGGCUUAACUGGGAGAGGCCGUUCAAACUGUCAAGCUAGAGUCUGGAAGAGGAGAGCGGAAUUCCCGGUGUAGUGGUGGAAUGCGUAGAGAUCGGGAGGAACACCAGUGGCGAAGCGGCUCUCUGGUCCAAAACUGACGCUGAGGGCGAAAGCGUGGGAGCGAA